GUGAGGCGGUGCGCCCAUGUGGACAGAUAGUGGGAAACAGUAUUUGUUAGGGAGGGGGCGGAAGAGGGAAUCUCCGGCUCGCGGCGUGUCAGCCGUUCCUAUGGUUACGAACGGGGGCGGGGUUUCUGGCAGCGUGAGGAUUGUUUGCAGGAGUCACUGGGUUCACGCUGGAGCAAGAAGUUGUGGCUGCCACUGGCUUGUGUUUAUGAUUAUGUCUGCACUAUUCGAGAGGAAAUAAAUGCCGUGGAAAAUGGAACUCGGCAAUAUUUCCUUGUGAGAUUUGGGGGCUGAACAAAAUCAGGACUCACUUAUCAAGGAAGAAGGGCAAACGGCUAUUGAGUGGUCAAGCUAGAGCCAUUUCACUGGCUAAUCUGAGUCUGACCAAGUUUGCUAUAGAGCAGAGCUGCCUCAGCUAGAGCUUAAAAAAGGAGGAUAAACAAACAAUAGCUAUUCUACAGCUAGACAGAAGGUUCCUGUGCCACUGCCACUGCCGCCACCACCACCACCACCACCACCACCACCUCAGUACAGCUCCAGGGUGGGAGCCACCCUUAGGGGAGGACCAGGAGAAAAAAGAGAAAAAAAGAAAAAAGCGAAAUCUAUGUGAAUCUGUAUUGAUAUAAUUAAAUGAUUACGUAAAUAAAUAAAUGGAGGUGAAGAGACAAA
This 666-nucleotide long non-coding RNA is filed under the name Equus asinus (donkey). Its description in RNAcentral is "lncRNA (ENSEASG00005025112.1)". The record is from RNAcentral. Lineage: Eukaryota; Metazoa; Chordata; Mammalia; Perissodactyla; Equidae.